GCGGAUGUGGCCAAGUGGGUCAAGGCAGUGGAUUGUGAAU
RNAcentral lists this transfer RNA (40 nucleotides) under Opuntia matudae. RNAcentral's name for it is "partial tRNA-His". Lineage: Eukaryota; Viridiplantae; Streptophyta; Magnoliopsida; Caryophyllales; Cactaceae. The record is from RNAcentral.